GACGAACGCUGGCGGCGUGCUUAGCACAUGCAAGUCGAACGGAAAGGCCCUGCUUUUGUGGGGUGCUCGAGUGGCGAACGGGUGAGUAACACGUGAGUAACCUGCCCUUGACUUUGGGAUAACUUCACGAAACUGGGGCUAAUACCGGAUAGGAGCUCCUGCUGCAUGGUGGGGGUUGGAAAGUUUCGGCGGUUGGGGAUGGACUCGCGGCUUAUCAGCUUGUUGGUGGGGUAGUGGCUUACCAAGGCUUUGACGGGUAGCCGGCCUGAGAGGGUGACCGGCCACAUUGGGACUGAGAUACGGCCCAGACUCCUACGGGAGGCAGCAGUGGGGAAUAUUGCACAAUGGGCGGAAGCCUGAUGCAGCAACGCCGCGUGCGGGAUGACGGCCUUCGGGUUGUAAACCGCUUUCGCCUGUGACGAAGCGUGAGUGACGGUAAUGGGUAAAGAAGCACCGGCUAACUACGUG
RNAcentral lists this ribosomal RNA (468 nucleotides) under uncultured bacterium. RNAcentral's name for it is "partial 16S ribosomal RNA". It matches the Rfam family "Bacterial small subunit ribosomal RNA", at positions 28 to 507 of the family's 1533-position model. The record is from RNAcentral.